Molecule: ribosomal RNA, 158 nt
Filed under: Myxococcales bacterium
Lineage: Bacteria; Pseudomonadati; Myxococcota; Myxococcia; Myxococcales
Description: partial 23S ribosomal RNA
Rfam family: Bacterial large subunit ribosomal RNA
Source: RNAcentral
CGGAAUGGAUAACCGCUGAAAGCAUCUAAGCGGGAAGCCAACUCCAAGAUGAGGAUUCCCCGAAGGCCCGUCGUAGACUACGACGUUGAUAGGUCGGAUGUGGAAGCGUUGUAAGACGCGAAGCUAACCGAUACUAAUAGGCCGUUCGGCUUGGCCAC